AGUGAACGCUGGCGGUAGGCCUAACACAUGCAAGUCGAACGGCAGCACAGUAAGAGCUUGCUCUUACGGGUGGCGAGUGGCGGACGGGUGAGGAAUACAUCGGAAUCUACUUUUUCGUGGGGGAUAACGUAGGGAAACUUACGCUAAUACCGCAUACGACCUACGAGUGAAAGCAGGGGAUCUUCGGACCUUGCGCGAUUGAAUGAGCCGAUGUCGGAUUAGCUAGUUGGCGGGGUAAAGGCCCACCAAGGCGACGAUCCGUAGCUGGUCUGAGAGGAUGAUCAGCCACACUGGAACUGAGAAAAGGUCCAGACUCCUACGGGAGGCAGCAGUGGGGAAUAUUGGACAAUGGGCGCAAGCCUGAUCCAGCCAUACCGCGUGGGUGAAGAAGGCCUUCGGGUUGUAAAGCCCUUUUGUUGGGAAAGAAAAGCAGCAGGUUAAUACCCCGCUGUUCUGACGGUACCCAAAGAAUAAGCACCGGCUAACUUCGUG
RNAcentral lists this ribosomal RNA (492 nucleotides) under uncultured bacterium. RNAcentral's name for it is "partial 16S ribosomal RNA". It matches the Rfam family "Bacterial small subunit ribosomal RNA", at positions 29 to 507 of the family's 1533-position model. The record is from RNAcentral.